UGGUCGGAAGUGUUUAAGGGAGGUUGCGGGGGAUCGAGGUGGAUGAGGAGAAGGACGGAAAGGAGGAGGAGGAGAUAGAUGAGGAGAAAAAAGUGGACGAGGAGGACGAGGAUAACGAGGAUUUCUGCACUUGAUCGAGGUAUAACCCGAGGUGGUUAGCCGUGGUCGUUAGAGGUGGUUGGCAGCGGUUGGAGGUGAUCGGAGGUGGACGAGGAGGAGGACGAGGAAGACGAGGAUUUGUGCUCGGUAUAACCCGAGGUAGUUCGCGGUGGUUGCGGGUGAUCGAGGUGGGCGAGGAGGAGG
RNAcentral lists this long non-coding RNA (303 nucleotides) under Neodiprion pinetum (white pine sawfly). RNAcentral describes it as "uncharacterized LOC124212195". Lineage: Eukaryota; Metazoa; Arthropoda; Insecta; Hymenoptera; Diprionidae. The record is from RNAcentral.